This is a long non-coding RNA of Bactrocera tryoni, 1836 nucleotides long. RefSeq lists it as uncharacterized. NCBI's taxonomy places the organism in Eukaryota, Metazoa, Arthropoda, Insecta, Diptera, Tephritidae. The transcript is spliced from 2 exons. The record is from RefSeq and is a predicted model, not a curated record.
CCGACAGUCGGUAACCGACUACUACCUACCUACCGAGUAUUGUAUUAUUUGAUUUUAUAACUUCACACGGAAAUAUUUCGGAAAUUAUGAGGUCUACGUCAUUUUUUCAAAGAGUAAUUAUGGUUUUAGAUAAUAUUUUCUAUCGAUUGGCCUAGGUUUCGAUUGACUUGAACACAAAAAAAUACAUUUCAUGUACUUUCAAGUUAAGAUAUGUUUCGCCUCAUACAAAAAGGUUCUAGAGGGCACCGUACGUAUACAGAAGGUGAUAUUUGUUAAUACUAAUCAUCUAUAUUAAAAAUGGAACGCCAUCAUCUCAGUGGCGCACAAUAUCGCAAACAGGCAGAGCUGAAGACAAAAAAAACCGAUACACUUCCAAAAAUGACAUCGUUUUUUUCCAACCAAUCUGUUAUAAUAAUGUAUGUCAAGAAUCUCAAUCCUUAUCAUCUGUUAGAACACAAAUUGAUAAAAACAGUACUACAGACGAUGAAAUAAAUAGCGAAAUUAGAACACCUGUUCCUGUUCCCGAUAAAUCUGAACCUGUUAUUGUUGCGAUUCCUGAAGUGUGAAAAAUUUAACUCGUAAAUUCCAAUAAAAAGACAGAUGCUGGGCUGUGGACGGAAUUUUCUGAGGAAGAUAUUUGCUAUUGGAUUGAUCACGGUCCAGAAAAUUGUCAGCACCAGCAGGGCCCAUUUUAUGAAUCGCGCCGUACAAAUGCUAGUGGUAAAAGUGUCCGUUUUUGCACACCACUGCUAUUUUUCGGUAAAAAAGCCAACGGUGAAACACAUAUACGGGAAUGGUUACUGUAUUCAAAUACAAAAGGAUCUUUGUAUUGCUUUGUUUGCAAGUUGUUUGGUAACAAAUCCAUCGCCACAGCGGCGAGCCAAUUUGCAGCUGAUGGAUUUAGUGAUUGGCGCAACGUAAUUGCAAUUGAGCACCAUGAAAAUAGUUCAGCUCGUAAGGACUUGAUGCCAACUUAUUUGAGUCGAAGACAAGGUCUAGGGAUCACCAAAAUCUAAAGGCACAAGUGAAAGAAGAAAGAAAAUAUUGGCAAAAUGUAUUGCAACGAGUUAUUGCAGUUAUACAAACGCUUGCAGAACGCCUGUAGGGGACAUGAUGAGUCUUUUGGAUCUAUACAUAAUGGGAAUUUUUUGAGUUUACUUGAACAUGUGGCUCAAUUUGAUCCAUUUUUAGCAAGCCAUAUUGCAAGAUAUGGAAAUAAAGGGAAAGGCAACCCAUCAUAUCUAUCGAAAACAGCGACGAACUUAUCGAUUUAAUGAGUGAUAAAGUUCACAAAGUGAUUUUCGAAGAAAUACAAUCAGCUGGGUACUUCAGCCUCUCAGUGGACUCCACGCCUGACCUAUCACAUACAGAUCAACUAAGUAUUAUUUUGAGAUACGUAUCGCCCUCUGAUGGUAUGCCCUUGGAACCAUUUUGACGUUUUUAAAUUUAAAAAGUCAUACCGGAGAAGAGAUGGCAAAUAUAGUACUCAGUUAUCUAAAGGGUUGCAAAAUAGAUAUUGCAAAGUUCAGAGGACAAUCAUAUGACAAUGCUGCUAAUAUGUCAGGACGAUAGAAAGGGAUGCAGAAAAAAAUUUUAGAGCAUAAUGAGUAUGCUGUAUUUAUACCAUGCGCUGCACAUACUCUAAACUUGAUUGGUCGUAGUGCUGUUUAUUAAAUUUUUUUUCAAUUGUACAGUUGUUAUAAAAUUUUUUCCGGCUGCUUCGCAUUGUUGGGCAGUUUUAAAAGAAAUAAAAGGCAACGAUAGCGUUCUGAAGUCGCUGUCGGAUACUCGUUGGGAAGCUCACGCUGUAGCUACGAGUGCAAUAUUACAAUCCUA